GGCAGUGUGGCCGAGUGGUCUAAGGCGGUUGAUUCGAAAUCAAUUGAGCGUGUCUCUCGCUGGUUCAAAUCCAGUCACUGUCG
This 83-nucleotide transfer RNA is filed under the name Vairimorpha apis BRL 01. Its description in RNAcentral is "tRNA-Ser (CGA) (tRNA-Ser-CGA-1-1)". It matches the Rfam family "tRNA". Rfam says of the family: Transfer RNA (tRNA) molecules are approximately 80 nucleotides in length. The record is from Rfam by way of RNAcentral. Lineage: Eukaryota; Fungi; Microsporidia; Nosematidae.